Molecule: small nuclear RNA, 278 nt
Filed under: Fukomys damarensis (Damara mole-rat)
Lineage: Eukaryota; Metazoa; Chordata; Mammalia; Rodentia; Bathyergidae
Description: 7SK RNA (ENSFDAG00000002046.1)
Rfam family: 7SK RNA
About the family: 7SK was discovered as an abundant small nuclear RNA in the mid-70s but a possible function has only recently been suggested.
Source: RNAcentral
GGCUGUGAGGGCGAUCUGGCCGUGACAUCUGUCACCCCAUUGAUCGCCAGGGUUGAUUCCGCUGAUCUGGCUGGCUAGGCGGGUGUCCCCUUCCUCCCUCACCACUCCAUGUGCGUCCCUCCUGAAGCUGCAUGCUUGGUAGAAGAGGACAACCAGCCCUGAUAGAGGAGGACCGUUUCCUCAGUCAAGGGUGUAUGAGUAGCUGAACUCCCCUGCUAGAACCUCCAAGCAAGCUCUCAAGACUGGUGGAAGAGGCCACCUAGCACAGAAAGGUGCCU